GACGAACGCUGGCGGCGUGCUUAACACAUGCAAGUCGAACGGAAAGGCCCUGCUCUUGUGGGGUGCUCGAGUGGCGAACGGGUGAGUAACACGCGAGUAACCUGCCCUUGACUUUGGGAUAACUUCAGGAAACUGGGGCUAAUACCGGAUAGGAGCUCCUGCUGCAUGGUGGGGGUUGGAAAGUUUCGGCGGUUGGGGAUGGACUCGCGGCUUAUCAGCUUGUUGGUGGGGUAGUGGCUUACCAAGGCUUUGACGGGUAGCCGGCCUGAGAGGGUGACCGGCCACAUUGGGACUGAGAUACGGCCCAGACUCCUACGGGAGGCAGCAGUGGGGAAUAUUGCACAAUGGGCGGAAGCCUGAUGCAGCAACGCCGCGUGCGGGAUGACGGCCUUCGGGUUGUAAACCGCUUUCGCCUGUGACGAAGCGUGAGUGACGGUAAUGGGUAAAGAAGCACCGGCUAACUACGUG
RNAcentral lists this ribosomal RNA (468 nucleotides) under uncultured bacterium. RNAcentral describes it as "partial 16S ribosomal RNA". It matches the Rfam family "Bacterial small subunit ribosomal RNA", at positions 28 to 507 of the family's 1533-position model. The record is from RNAcentral.